GGCGCCGGCGCGGCUAGGGUUCCGGCUCCUUGGGGAGCCGGGCAACAGAAGAUUAUAAUAUCUUUAUUGCUUAAUCUCAAACGGUGUCUUACAGCUAGUAUUUAUAACUUUAGCCUAAGAUAACUUUGCCUAAGAUAACUUGUGGGCCAAGCCCCUAAUACUAAUGCCCG
This is a long non-coding RNA of Triticum aestivum (bread wheat), 170 nucleotides long. RefSeq lists it as uncharacterized. The transcript is spliced from 3 exons. NCBI's taxonomy places the organism in Eukaryota, Viridiplantae, Streptophyta, Magnoliopsida, Poales, Poaceae. The record is from RefSeq and is a predicted model, not a curated record.